RNAcentral lists this ribosomal RNA (90 nucleotides) under uncultured bacterium. RNAcentral describes it as "partial 16S ribosomal RNA". The record is from RNAcentral.
UCUUGUACUCACCGCCCGUCAACUCAAGGGAGAUGGGAGUACCCGAAGUCUCGCGCAAGCGGGCCCACGGUAAGCUCAUCGACAGGGAGU